Molecule: unclassified non-coding RNA, 374 nt
Organism: Pogonomyrmex barbatus (red harvester ant)
Lineage: Eukaryota; Metazoa; Arthropoda; Insecta; Hymenoptera; Formicidae
Source: RefSeq, a predicted model, not a curated record
GCUGAUAGAAAAUGCCGCAUAGAUGUAAAUGUCGAGGGAAAUUAUCUUUUAUACUGGUGAUGUGCGAUAAACAUGUCAUCCAAGAUGGACGCUGAAAGAACUGAAGUAACUCGCACGUGCGGCAAAUUUUGAAAACGUAAAACGUUGAACGCGUUUUGAGAAUAGAAUUUUAUUAUUUUUUUUUUUUUUUUUAUAUUAUUUAUUUGAUUAUCGAGAAUUGUAUUUGCCGAUAUAUUCAUUGAUAUCUGAUGACGAUUUCUUCUAACUGUACUAAUCUUGUUAAAAGAAUUUGUGUAAUUAUUGUUAACAAGUCGAUUUAAUUUUAAAAAAUAUGGCCAGAGCGACAACGUGCAAAGAAGCUAUUCAAAGAUGGG